UUCUUUCAAGACUUUGGAUAUCAAAGUUUUGAUAAUCAUUUUCAUUUUGAAGGUUUGCAACAGAAUGUUGCUUUCUAAAUUUCAAAUUCCCAUUUCAUUUCAUUUUAAAGGCUUAACUUUACAACAGAAUGUUGGCCUUUUCUUUCAAUUAUCCAUGAGACUUGAUCUCAUUUCCUUAUAAAAAAGGAUUGAACCAACAAUAUGUUCUUGGUUUGAAACCAAGAACAUUGAACAGGAACCAUUUCGUCCAAACAAUCCAAAAAAUUUCAAACCACUAUUUCGUUCAAGGAUUCAGAAGCUUCAUUCCGUUCAAAUAAUUUCAGGAACAAGUAUGUUAAAGUCUUCCCUUCUUUCUUUUGGCAUGGUCUAAAUUAUAUUGAAGAAACAAGAAAAUACACAGUUUCCAUAAAUUACUCUAUUUAUAAAAAUAGUAUGGGUAUCUAUAUUCUUGAUUCCCCAUGACAAUUAAUAUUAUCCGGAAGGAAUAUUAAGAUUAUUACGUAUUUUUCAUGCAUUUCACUCAUUUAUACAUAUGCAUUGACUCAUGACCAGAUGACGUUAUAUAUGCGUAUAUAUUUAAAUAUAUGUAUAUGGGGUAUGGGAAAAGGUUACGGCAUUAUAUACGCACCACCACCUGAUCAGCUGGUAUAUGUUGAUGAUGUUGCCCACAGUGGCCGAGACGAUAUGAUGGGAUGCCCUCAGUGGCUUGAUGAUAUUAUGUACAUACAUACCUAUGCAUGACACGAUAUUUAUACUCGCGUGCAUGACAUUAUAAACGUUUUAGAAUUUUAAAGUUAUUCAGGUUUAAAGAUAUGUUUCUUUAUUCCAUGUUUCAUCUAUGUCUUUGCCUUACAUACUCAGUACAUUUUUCGUACUGACGCCCUAUUUCACUGGGCCUGUGUUUCAUGCCCGCAAGUGCAGGUAGGCAAGCUAACAGUCCCCCUUCUUAGGAUCCAUGAUCAGUGAGAGUUGGCGUGCUCCACUUGAUCCGAAGCUGCUUUUGAUUUUGGUAUAAUAUGUUUGUGUGUGUCUCUAUAUAUAUAUAUAUNNNNN
RNAcentral lists this long non-coding RNA (1053 nucleotides) under Nicotiana tabacum (common tobacco). RNAcentral describes it as "long non-coding RNA (NTAB_LNC016081)". Lineage: Eukaryota; Viridiplantae; Streptophyta; Magnoliopsida; Solanales; Solanaceae. The record is from RNAcentral.